UACGUAGGGGGCAAGCGUUAUCCGGAAUUAUUGGGCGUAAAGAGUGCGUAGGUGGUUUUGUAAGCGCGAGGUGAAAGGCUAUGGCUCAACCAUAGUAAGCCUUGCGAACUGCAAGACUUGAGUGCAGGAGAGGAAAGUGGAAUUCCUAGUGUAGCGGUGAAAUGCGUAGAUAUUAGGAGGAACACCAGUGGCGAAGGCGACUUUCUGGACUGUAACUGACACUGAGGCACGAAAGCGUGGGGAGCAAACAGGAUUAGAUACCCUGGUAGUCCACGCCGUAAACGAUGAGCACUAGGUGUCGGGGUCGCAAGGCUUCGGUGCCGCAGUUAACGCAUUAAGUGCUCCGCCUGGGGAGUACGCACGCAAGUGUGAA
RNAcentral lists this ribosomal RNA (373 nucleotides) under uncultured bacterium. Its description in RNAcentral is "bacterial SSU rRNA". It matches the Rfam family "Bacterial small subunit ribosomal RNA", at positions 524 to 898 of the family's 1533-position model. The record is from RNAcentral.